AUGGCCUCCAAGACCGCGGUCGUCGCCUUCACACUCAUCGCAGCCCAGCUCCUCCUCGCAUCCACUCCAACGACCGCGAUAUCGAUCCCUCCGGCUACCACGACCGGUACUACCACCGUGCCUUCAGGAUCCGCGACGGACGUCCCGGCGCUCCCGUUCCCGGGGGAGGGCGAGGUGGCCGAGGCCGCGGCUGACUGCUGGAAGGUAGUGCUGCAGGCGGAGAGCUGCGCGGUCGACAUCCUCAAGUGGCUCGCGUCCCGGCAGCUCGCCGGCCGCGUGAGCCUGGCGUGCUGCGGUGUGCUCCAGAGGGUCGGCGACAGGUGCCUCCGCGACCUCUUCCCCCACUCUGCGGUCGGCCGACUCUACGCUCCCUUUGUGAGUCACGCGUGCGGUAUCCCCAAACGGGCAACGACCCCCAACGGCCGCCAGUGA
This 432-nucleotide ribosomal RNA is filed under the name Triticum aestivum (bread wheat). RNAcentral describes it as "partial small subunit ribosomal RNA". Lineage: Eukaryota; Viridiplantae; Streptophyta; Magnoliopsida; Poales; Poaceae. The record is from RNAcentral.